This 253-nucleotide ribosomal RNA is filed under the name uncultured bacterium. RNAcentral describes it as "partial 16S ribosomal RNA". It matches the Rfam family "Bacterial small subunit ribosomal RNA", at positions 524 to 776 of the family's 1533-position model. The record is from RNAcentral.
UACGUAGGGGGCUAGCGUUGUCCGGAAUCAUUGGGCGUAAAGCGCGCGUAGGCGGCCAGAUAAGUCCGGUGUGAAAGUCACAGGCUCAACCUGUGAAUGCCGCUGGAAACUGUCUGGCUAGAGUCCGGAAGGGGCGAGUGGAAUUCCUGGUGUAGCGGUGAAAUGCGCAGAUAUCAGGAGGAACACCAAUGGCGAAGGCAGCUCGCUGGAACGGUACUGACGCUGAGGCGCGAAAGCGGGGGGAGCGAACAGG